This is a long non-coding RNA of Phascolarctos cinereus (koala), 828 nucleotides long. RefSeq lists it as uncharacterized. NCBI's taxonomy places the organism in Eukaryota, Metazoa, Chordata, Mammalia, Diprotodontia, Phascolarctidae. The record is from RefSeq and is a predicted model, not a curated record.
CAACUGCCUGUCGGUGAAAUGAGUCCCCUCUCUGAGCUGCAGAGAAGUUUCCAUCAGAAUUGGUUCUAAAACCCUGAAGAAGGUAUCACAAAAAAAGCUGCUAUAAAUAUUUUUGCGUAUAUAGAGGCUUUCUUCUUAUCAAUGGAUUCCUUGGUGCAUAAGCCUAGUAAUGCAUUCCCUGGUUCAAAAGUGACUUGGAACAUUUUUUCAUAUGAUUAUGAAUGCGUUGCAGUUCUUCUUCUGAGAUGUGUUUGAAGCAUAUUCUCUACAUCCUGACAGAGAGCAGAUGGACUCAAGGCAUGGAAGGAGUCACAAUUUUGCACAUAGUCACAGUGUGAAUUUGUUUAGCUUGAAUAUGUUUAGGUGUUACAGGGGAUUUCUGUUAGGGGAAGGAAGGAGGGAAUAAUUAUGAUGAUUCAAAAAAAGGAAAAGUAAAAAAAGAAGGUUAUUGAAACGGUAAAAAUGUGAAGUUCAUAAAGAAGCAGAGACAAGCAAGGCAAUUUGGAAAGUAAUGUGUUACACUGACUAUAUUUUUUAAAAGAAUGGAAAAGAGAUCUACAAAUUUAUACACAAUCCUCUUUGUUUGCUCUAUUUUGCAUAUAUAAUGUGUGUGCUCCUAAUAUAUCAUCAUAAGAAAUCACAAAUGUUUUAUUCAAUGGUGUCACUGUGUAUGAUUUUAUGCAAAUCACAACUGUGGGGGCUCAAGAGACAUAAUACUGAGUUGUAGGACUCCCUUACCAGGGUUAUCCUUAAAACUUUGAAAGAACAAGUUGUGAAUUGUAGCUGUUGGAUAAGUGGCUCCUCUCUUGGAGUCACCUGUAAUCUGCA